UGAAGAAGGCCUUCGGGUUGUAAAGCACUUUCAGUCGUGAGGAAGGUAGUGUAGUUAAUAGCUGCAUUAUUUGACGUUAGCGACAGAAGAAGCACCGGCUAACUCCGUGCCAGCAGCCGCGGUAAUACGGAGGGUGCGAGCGUUAAUCGGAAUUACUGGGCGUAAAGCGCAUGCAGGUGGUUUGUUAAGUCAGAUGUGAAAGCCCGGGGCUCAACCUCGGAAUUGCAUUUGAAACUGGCAGACUAGAGUACUGUAGAGGGGGGUAGAAUUUCAGGUGUAGCGGUGAAAUGCGUAGAGAUCUGAAGGAAUACCGGUGGCGAAGGCGGCCCCCUGGACAGAUACUGACACUCAGAUGCGAAAGCGUGGGGAGCAAACAGGAUUAGAUACCCUGGUAGUCCACGCCGUAAACGAUGUCUACUUGGAGGUUGUGGCCUUGAGCCGUGGCUUUCGGAGCUAACGCGUUAAGUAGACCGCCUGGGGAGUACGGUCGCAAGAUUAAAACUCAAAUGAAUUGACGGGGGCCCGCACAAGCGGUGGAGCAUGUGGUUUAAUUCGAUGCAACGCGAAGAACCUUACCUACUCUUGACAUCCAGAGAACUUUCCAGAGAUGGAUUGGUGCCUUCGGGAACUUUGAGACAGGUGCUGCAUGGCUGUCGUCAGCUCGUGUUGUGAAAUGUUGGGUUAAGUCCCGCAACGAGCGCAACCCUUAUCCUUGUUUGCCAGCGAGUAAUGUCGGGAACUCCAGGGAGACUGCCGGUGAUAAACCGGAGGAAGGUGGGGACGACGUCAAGUCAUCAUGGCCCUUACGAGUAGGGCUACACACGUGCUACAAUGGCGCAUACAGAGGGCGGCCAACUUGCGAGAGUGAGCGAAUCCCAAAAAGUGCGUCGUAGUCCGGAUUGGAGUCUGCAACUCGACUCCAUGAAGUCGGAAUCGCUAGUAAUCGUGGAUCAGAAUGCCACGGUGAAUACGUUCCCGGGCCUUGUACACACCGCCCGUCACACCAUGGGAGUGGGCUGCAAAAGAAGUAGGUAGUUUAACCUUCGGGAGGACGCUUACCACCUUUGGUACA
RNAcentral lists this ribosomal RNA (1072 nucleotides) under Vibrio sp. Its description in RNAcentral is "bacterial SSU rRNA". It matches the Rfam family "Bacterial small subunit ribosomal RNA", at positions 406 to 1471 of the family's 1533-position model. The record is from RNAcentral. Lineage: Bacteria; Pseudomonadati; Pseudomonadota; Gammaproteobacteria; Vibrionales; Vibrionaceae.